Molecule: unclassified non-coding RNA, 33 nt
Filed under: Trypanosoma cruzi
Lineage: Eukaryota; Euglenozoa; Kinetoplastea; Trypanosomatida; Trypanosomatidae
Description: guide RNA
Source: RNAcentral
GAUAGAGAACGGAUGAGAAGGAUGUUUGUGAGA